This 396-nucleotide ribosomal RNA is filed under the name Acanthosepion pharaonis. RNAcentral's name for it is "Sepia pharaonis partial 12S ribosomal RNA". Lineage: Eukaryota; Metazoa; Mollusca; Cephalopoda; Sepiida; Sepiidae. The record is from RNAcentral.
CUUUAUUUUAAAUUUUUUUUUUAUUUAAGUAGUGUAAAUAUAAUUUGUUAUAUUAUAUAGUAUUUGAAACUUAAAAAGCUUNGCGUNGCUAUAUAUCCAUUUAGGGGAGCUUGUUUAUUAAUUUGAUAAUCCUCAAUUAACUCUUACUUUUUUUUGAAUAUUUAACAGUUUGUAUAUUGCUGUCGUCAGUUUAUUUCGUAAGAAUUUUUAAAAAACUUAAGAGUAAAUUUGCUAGUAUGUCAAGUCAAAAAUGCAGCUAAUAAGGAAGGUAAAAUAUAAUGAGCUACGAUUUAUAAUUUUUAAAUUGGAUUAAAUAUUGUAAUAUAUUUUUGAAAUUGGACUUAACAGUAAUGUAAAUAAUUAAUAUGUUUAUAUGAAUUAGGUUUUAUAGCGCGU